AGGUGAUAUCUCAUUGUUGUUUUGAUUUUUAUUUCUCUGCUGAUUAGUGAGGUUGAGUAUCUUUUCAGCUAUCUAAUUGCCAUG
This is a long non-coding RNA of Myotis brandtii (Brandt's bat), 84 nucleotides long. RefSeq lists it as uncharacterized. NCBI's taxonomy places the organism in Eukaryota, Metazoa, Chordata, Mammalia, Chiroptera, Vespertilionidae. The record is from RefSeq and is a predicted model, not a curated record. The transcript is spliced from 3 exons.